AAGCGUUCACUCAACGCCAUAUAACAAACAUUUAAAACCUUCGCAGAUUCAUGAGCCGAAUCGUAGGAUGCCCAGAAUUUCUGUUUCUGGAACAUCUUGAACCCUCGGCUAAAUCUCA
Humulus lupulus (European hop) is the source of this 118-nucleotide small nucleolar RNA. RefSeq annotates it as small nucleolar RNA snoR145. The record is from RefSeq and is a predicted model, not a curated record. Lineage: Eukaryota; Viridiplantae; Streptophyta; Magnoliopsida; Rosales; Cannabaceae. The transcript has a single exon.